This 923-nucleotide long non-coding RNA is filed under the name Leguminivora glycinivorella. Its description in RNAcentral is "uncharacterized LOC125234008". Lineage: Eukaryota; Metazoa; Arthropoda; Insecta; Lepidoptera; Tortricidae. The record is from RNAcentral.
GAAAAUUGUAUGACCGAUCAAGCGUACCAACUUAAAAACAAUGAUAGUUUGUGUAAUGUCACCGAUAGAACACCUUUUGGCGAAGAUAUAUGUUAUCUGUGGUUAAAUUAUUUUCUCUAAUCUAUGUCAUGCUUACCGCUAAUCCGCUUGUUCGCGAAAAAAUGGCAGAUCCGUUUUUGUUUUCUUUAGCUCAUUAUUAAUUACGUGAUCUACAACUAGAAUUAUUUAAAUAUUCGCUUUAUUUUAAUCUGCUUAAACAAUACGACAGGCAAUUCUGCGCCGACGCCGGUCAUGAACCGUCCAUAUUCGCCAUUUUGUCAUUUAGCAAACUAAGAAAAUGCAAACAAAACAUUAUUUGCCCUAAACACGCGUUACUUCUAAAUAAUUUUGUCGACAAAGUGAGCCUGUUUUAUCAAAUUGAACUCUGAACUGCAAUUGCAAUGUAAUUUUCCGUUAGCGAAAGUGAGGUUACGAAAUUGACAUGACAUUAUUGUUGGAAAAAAAAACGUGAAUGCAAUGGACAUGUGUUUUGUUGUGUUUCUCAUCAAGAUAAUAGAAGAAUUUAGUGCUCAUACUCAUGAUCUAAUGAGCAAACAGCCCAUGUAAAGGAUGUCUUAACGGGCCAUGUCUCUACUAAUAAAGUGAACAAUUGCCUUCUCCAAAAGCAGCUUUGCAAGAAAGUCAACAUCUAAUUGGAACUCACAAUGCCCGACACCUCCACACAUCUGCCACAAAUUCCAUGGAAAACAAUACCCACAGAAACUGAACAUACCUUGGUUAACCGUAUAUGAAAUGGGUAACCAUCCUCGAAGAACAUCAACCAGCCGUCGGCAAUGUGCAGGUGGACUGAGGAAUUUUCCGGUGUGUCUUUUUAUGGACUGUACUCCGUCUUAGCACAAUUCCCAAGUAAGUACAAAAAAUCA